UUUAUUUGUUUUGUUUUCUUUGUUUUGUUUUCAUUUUUUCUCUAUUUUAGUUUUUGUUUGCUUUCUUAAAAAAAAAAUUGCAUGCUUUUUCCUUUGGUUUUUGAGUUACAAUUAUGAGUAUUUUUCUUAGUUCUCUUGACUAAAGUUUUGUGGUGUGAUGUGAAAAAUUUGUUGUGUAUUUUUAGUAUGAUAGAAAUGACUAAACUCUAAAUUGUACAUCAUUUGUGGUAGAUCAAUUAAACUUGUGAGAUUUUGAGCCUUAU
Molecule: long non-coding RNA, 263 nt
Filed under: Lathyrus oleraceus (garden pea)
Lineage: Eukaryota; Viridiplantae; Streptophyta; Magnoliopsida; Fabales; Fabaceae
Description: Pisum sativum (pea) long non-coding RNA (PSAT_LNC003510)
Source: RNAcentral